Molecule: RNA transcript, 1478 nt
Organism: Photinus pyralis (common eastern firefly)
Lineage: Eukaryota; Metazoa; Arthropoda; Insecta; Coleoptera; Lampyridae
Gene name: leucine-rich melanocyte differentiation-associated protein-like
Exons: 7
Source: RefSeq, a predicted model, not a curated record
AUUGAGUGAGUUAUAUACAUGCAUAUGUAUAUAGGAAACUAUAUAAACUGAUAAUUAUAAUGGAGGACAGUUGUAAUGAGUAAGUACUUAGGUACUUUAAUUUUGAAUUUGAAGCCCUCGUCAGUAAUUCAGAAAAUGGUCCAGUGUGAAUACGACGAUGCCUUCCACGUUGUUGAUCUGGAUGAACCGUAUUCAACGCAGCAGUUUGAUACCAUAGACGAAGAUAUUGAAAUUUUUGAUAUGACAUCUCUCAGUACCUUAGUUUUGUUAAGCCAGAACGAAUCGAAGUCUGAAUCGUUUGCUACCUUAGAAAAUGAGUUAUUUUAUACGGAUCCAAGGCAUCGGCUAUCGCUAGCUUAUGAAAAGCUGCACUCAAUACCAAAAUUGCUGCUACAUGAACUAUCGCCCAUUAUUAAAACGUUGGAUAUAAGUCACAAUGAAUUUGACAAUAUUGACUUUGCGGGAGAAUUCAAACAAUUAACAAUGUUUAUCUGUGAUCACAAUAAUAUUACCUCAACAACGCACAUUCCUUACAUGCCCCAAUUGGAAUUGCUAUGGAUGAACCAUUGCAAGAUAGCCGAACUGUAUCCAUGGGCGAAGAGGUUACAACAGGCUUGUCCGAACUUAAGGCAUUUGUCGUUAAUGGGGAACCCAGCGGCUCCGUCGUACCUUAACGGCGGAACAUUUUAUGAGUAUUUACAAUACAGGUUAUUUAUGAUUUCGUUAUUCCCAACGUUGGUUCAUUUGGAUGAUAAAGUCGUUACCGAUGACCAAAGAGCUGAAGCGCAUCGAUUAUACAAAAGGCCAUUUUUUGAAAGGGUUACAUCGAAAACAACUACGACCCUACCUACAUACUUAAGAUCUGUGACGGAUAAAGUUUCUGAAAUUUUGACACCACUACCGACGCUCUCGUUAAAUAACCAAAAAAACUUAAUUAUUUAAACAAUUGUACUUUAUAAUUAUGCAACAUUUAUCAUUUUUAGUUACAAGAACGUGACAACAUUGUAUUUUAAAUUAUAACAGAGAAAUCAAACCACGUAUGGAAAUUAUUUCACCCCCUUUGUUAUGGUGAUCAUGGGAACCGACUUGUACAAGAAAAUUCAACUGGAAUUACAUUGAAUUCGGGUUCAAUUUGAAUACUAAGAAACGGAAGUCUUUAAACUGGACUUCUUUAUUACACUUUCUGUCCAUCCGUCUCGUAUUGUUUUCUUUUCGAGAAAUAUGACGUGUUUUCCCGAAAACGUAGAAUAGUGGGAUGCCUUCGGAAGCGCUCGAGAUUUUUCAUGAAAUAAGGGGCGGUAGCUAUAUAAGCAAAUCGAAUUGACAGUUCCACUUUCAACGCCGAAAUCAUAAAUGGUGUAUACGUAAGUGACAAAUAAAUUUUGCUGUUAUAAAUCCAUUCUUUUCAAUACUGUUAUAAAUUUAUUGUUCAUUAUUUGUAAAUAAAUAAACGGCGUAAUUAAAUUUACGUUACAAUA